RNAcentral lists this ribosomal RNA (213 nucleotides) under Triticum aestivum (bread wheat). RNAcentral's name for it is "partial small subunit ribosomal RNA". The record is from RNAcentral. Lineage: Eukaryota; Viridiplantae; Streptophyta; Magnoliopsida; Poales; Poaceae.
ACCCUGCAAUCAAAUAGAUUGUCCCAAGGGCGCCAUAUUCUAGGAGCCCAAGUUAUGCUAUUGAAAAUUCGUUCCUCUAGCAGUUCCGGUUUGAGCAUUCCGUUCCCUUUUUCAAACUCCACUUCUUUUCAUAUACAAUCCCUGAUCAAAGAGAGAACAAUAUCCAUUUCAAAACAUUUCUAACAGAUUCCUUAGUUCGGACCGACGAAGUAA